UACGUAGGGUGCGAGCGUUGUCCGGAUUUAUUGGGCGUAAAGAGCUCGUAGGCGGUUUGUCGCGUCGUUCGUGAAAACUCCACGCUUAACGUGGAGCGUGCGGGCGAUACGGGCAGACUUGAGUUCGGUAGGGGAGACUGGAAUUCCUGGUGUAGCGGUGAAAUGCGCAGAUAUCAGGAGGAACACCGGUGGCGAAGGCGGCUCUCUAGUACGGUACUGACGCUGAGACGCGAAAGCGUGGGGAGCGAACAGG
This 253-nucleotide ribosomal RNA is filed under the name uncultured bacterium. RNAcentral describes it as "partial 16S ribosomal RNA". It matches the Rfam family "Bacterial small subunit ribosomal RNA", at positions 524 to 776 of the family's 1533-position model. The record is from RNAcentral.